This 1319-nucleotide long non-coding RNA is filed under the name Jatropha curcas. RNAcentral's name for it is "long non-coding RNA (JCUR_LNC003010)". The record is from RNAcentral. Lineage: Eukaryota; Viridiplantae; Streptophyta; Magnoliopsida; Malpighiales; Euphorbiaceae.
GUUCUUCCAGUUUCAGAACCAGUAAUCUCCAGGAUGAAAACAAGCCAUCAUCAAGUUUUCUUCCAGCUCUGAGCUCUACUAGUAUCCCAUGUAGGAAACCUAGAUCCAGGGUAGAAUAUUUUUAGUUUAAUGCUUGUUUGGUUUCUUGGAAAAUUAUUGCUUCCCGCUUUGGAACGUUGCUUCCAUUUGGUGGUCACAGCACUUGGUUCAUAAAUGUUGAUGUUUUAGGUAAAACUUUGACGGUGGUUCUGGUUAAAAAUGUAAAAUCACAUAAAAAUAUAAUUAUUUUUAUAUAUAAUUUAUGUAUUUCUUUUAAUAUUUACGAUGGAUGUAUUAUUUUUUAUUUUGAUAUAUUAUAUAAAUAAAAUAUUAAUUAAUUUUUAAUAGCAUUUAAUAUAAAUUAUCUAUUUUUAAAUAACUACAGAUAAAAUAAUUAUAAAAAAUAUUAAUUUAAAAAAUUAUUUUAUUAUUAAUUUUAUAAUAAAACUAUAUUACAAAUGAGGUAACAAUUAUCGUAACUGAUAGAAUUAGUUCAUUAAAAUUAGCAGUUAUGAGCCACGGAUUUGGACUAUCGGCUUAGCUGAAUUAAAAGGCGAUCUUAAUAAGGAAAACUAAAACUAAUCUUUAUUUAAAUUUUAUUUUGGAAAUAAAUAAAUAAGCCACAAAGGCUAAAGUUAGUGGCCGUGGCUCGCAGUGUCAAUAAUUAAUUCGUGAAGUGCGCGUUUUUGCGCUCUGAAAUUCAAAUCACACAUUUUCCUUCACCACGAAAGAAUUUCUCGAGAACCAAACAGAAUUUCAUUUUAUUUUUUUUUAAAAUACAAAUAAUAUUGGACUUUGAGGUAUAAAUAUAAGUUGAAAUUUUCUUAUAAUUUCCACAGGAAAGAUCUUUGAUAAUGAAGUGAAGAUUGAUGACCAAAUCAUCAAGUCAAGCAGGUCACAAUAAUUCCUUUUUGCAAUAAAUAGUUAAUUUUCAUUUCUUGUUAUAUCUAUGUAUAUAUUUUUAUUAAAAAAAAAAAACUUUUUUUUAGGUUUCCUUGCAUGCAGUCCUAUAUAAAUCCAGUCCAAGCCUUCUCAUCUGAAGAGAGCAAAGGAAUAAGUAGUUUCACUAACAGUGCAUAUGGUUCUUCCAGUUUCAGAACCAGUAAUCUCCAGGAUGAAAACAAGCCAUCAUCAAGUUUUCUUCCAGCUCUGAGCUCUACUAGUAUCCCAUGUAGGAAACCUAGAUCCAGGGUAGAAUAUUUUUAGUUUAAUGCUUGUUUGGUUUCUUGGAAAAUUAUUGCUUCCCGCUUUGGAACGUUGCUUCCAUUUGGUGGUCACAG